Molecule: ribosomal RNA, 468 nt
Filed under: uncultured bacterium
Lineage: Bacteria
Description: partial 16S ribosomal RNA
Rfam family: Bacterial small subunit ribosomal RNA
Source: RNAcentral
GACGAACGCUGGCGGCGUGCUUAACACAUGCAAGUCGAACGGAAAGGCCCUGCUUUUGUGGGUUGCUCGAGUGGCGAACGGGUGAGUAACACGUGAGUAACCUGCCCUUGACUUUGGGAUAACUUCAGGAAACUGGGGCUAUUACCGGAUAGGAGCUCCUGCUGCAUGGUGGGGGUUGGAAAGUUUCGGCGGUUGGGGCUGUACUCGCGGCUUAUCAGCUUGUUGGUGGGGUAGUGGCUUACCAAGGCUUUGACGGGUAGCCGGCCUGAGAGGGUGACCGGCCACAUUGGGACUGCGAUACGGCCCAGACUCCUACGGGAGGCAGCAGUGGGGAAUAUUGCACAAUGGGCGGAAGCCUGAUGCAGCAACGCCGCGUGCGGGAUGACGGCCUUCGGGUUGUAAACCGCUUUCGCCUGUGACGAAGCGUGAGUGACGGUAAUGGGUAAAGAAGCACCGGCUAACUACGUG